Long non-coding RNA from Daphnia pulex (common water flea), 525 nucleotides. RefSeq lists it as uncharacterized. The transcript is spliced from 2 exons. NCBI's taxonomy places the organism in Eukaryota, Metazoa, Arthropoda, Branchiopoda, Diplostraca, Daphniidae. The record is from RefSeq and is a predicted model, not a curated record.
CCCGCCAGAACGACGCGUCUCUUCAAUCUUGAGAUGUGGUAGCCUUUAUUUUAUAUUGAUUUUAUAGUUUAUAAUGGAGUCUUCUCAGCAGCACGCUCUAGAGCUCGCUCUGAAGUUUUUCUAUAUCCCGGACGACAUUCAUCUUAGCCUAAACGAUAGGCUUCGAUUUAAUUGGCUGCUUCAACAACCGUUGGGCAGCUGGCAGUUUCUUGUGUUGACGGAGUAUAGGCCUCGAGAAGGCGGUUUUGUUUCUCCAACUUUAAGUGAGCGUUUAAUGCGCAGUACCCUGGUUACGCGAGGUAUCAUGAUGUUUUCGAUAUUCUGUCGGCUCGCUUUUUGUGGUAUUACGAGUCAGGAAUGGAUGUUUUCUUUCCUGAGGGCAUUUCUUUCGACGUUGAGGAACUGGAGUAUCCCGAUUUGGGUCGACUGCACAUUGGUGAUUGAAGGCCGUCGAACGAAAUCUGGCGUUAAUUUUGUUUUAUGUUGUAUUAUGGUGGUUGUUUGAAUACAAUGCCUUUUUCCAUU